GAAAUGCGAUAAGUAAUGUGAAUUGCAGAAUUCAGUGAAUCAUCGAAUCUUUGAACGCACAUUGCGCCCCCUGGUAUUCCGGGGGGCAUGCCUGUCCGAGCGUCAUUACAACCCUCAAGCUCAGCUUGGUGUUGGGCCCCGCCGCCCCGGCGGGCCCUAAAGUCAGUGGCGGUGCCGUCCGGCUCCGAGCGUAGUAAUUCUUCUCGCUCUGGAGGUCCGGUCGUGUGCUUGCCAGCAACCCCCAAUUUUUUUCAGGUUGACCUCGGAUCAGGUAGGGAUACCCGCUGAACUUAA
RNAcentral lists this unclassified non-coding RNA (294 nucleotides) under uncultured Pseudogymnoascus. RNAcentral describes it as "sequence contains ITS1". The stretch from base 1 to 105 matches the Rfam family "5.8S ribosomal RNA", at positions 50 to 154 of the family's 154-position model. Lineage: Eukaryota; Fungi; Ascomycota; Leotiomycetes; Myxotrichaceae. The record is from RNAcentral.